This 233-nucleotide ribosomal RNA is filed under the name uncultured bacterium. RNAcentral's name for it is "partial 16S ribosomal RNA". It matches the Rfam family "Bacterial small subunit ribosomal RNA", at positions 15 to 238 of the family's 1533-position model. The record is from RNAcentral.
GAUCAUGGCUCAGGAUGAACGCUGGCGGCGUGCCUAAUACAUGCAAGUAGAACGCUGAAGGAAGGAGCUUGCUCUUUCCGGAUGAGUUGCGAACGGGUGAGUAACGCGUAGGUAACCUGCCUGGUAGCGGGGGAUAACUAUUGGAAACGAUAGCUAAUACCGCAUAACAAUAGAUGUUGCAUGACAACUAUUUGAAAGGGGCAAUUGCUCCACUACCAGAUGGACCUGCGUUG